GCCCCAGACUCCUACGGGAGGCAGCAGUGGGGGAUAUUGCACAAUGGGGGGAACCCUGAUGCAGCGACGCCGCGUGGGUGAAGGAGUAUUUCGGUAUGUAAAGCCCUAUCGGCAGGGAAGAAGCAAGACGGUACCUGACUAAGAAGCCCCGGCUAACUACGUGCCAGCAGCCGCGGUAAUACGUAGGGGGCGAGCGUUAUCCGGAUUCACUGGGUGUAAAGGGAGCGUAGACGGCCAAGCAAGCCAGGGGUGAAAGCCCGGGGCCCAACCCCGGGACUGCCCUUGGAACUGCUUGGCUGGAGUGCGGGAGGGGCAGGCGGAAUUCCUGGUGUAGCGGUGAAAUGCGUAGAUAUUAGGAGGAACACCAGUGGCGAAGGCGGCUUACUGGACGGCAACUGACGCUGAGGCUCGAAAGCGUGGGGAGCAAACAGGAUUAGAUACCCGGGUAU
RNAcentral lists this ribosomal RNA (449 nucleotides) under uncultured bacterium. RNAcentral describes it as "partial 16S ribosomal RNA". It matches the Rfam family "Bacterial small subunit ribosomal RNA", at positions 328 to 793 of the family's 1533-position model. The record is from RNAcentral.